UCACCAAGUUGAACGGAGAUGUGUUC
Molecule: non-coding RNA, 26 nt
Filed under: Homo sapiens (human)
Lineage: Eukaryota; Metazoa; Chordata; Mammalia; Primates; Hominidae
Source: RNAcentral